Rattus norvegicus (Norway rat) is the source of this 67-nucleotide non-coding RNA. NCBI's taxonomy places the organism in Eukaryota, Metazoa, Chordata, Mammalia, Rodentia, Muridae. The record is from Rfam.
GGAUUUAGCUCAGUGGUAGAGCGCUUGCCUAGGAAGCGCAAGGCCCUGGGUUCGAUCCCCAGCUCCG